RNAcentral lists this ribosomal RNA (469 nucleotides) under uncultured bacterium. Its description in RNAcentral is "SSU rRNA". It matches the Rfam family "Bacterial small subunit ribosomal RNA", at positions 26 to 517 of the family's 1533-position model. The record is from RNAcentral.
AGCCUGAACGCUGGCGGCGUGGCUAAGACAUGCAGGUCGUACGGGUGUAGCAAUACACCAGUGGCGGACGGGUGAGUAAUGUAUCGCUAACGUACCCCAGAGUCUGGGAUAGCUGCCCGAAAGGGCAGGUAAUACCAGAUGACAUAUUCUUGCUGCAUGGCGAGAAUCUCAAAGGGAAACCGUUCUGGGGAGCGGGGCGAGUAUACGGUAUCAAGCUAGUUGGUAGGGUAACGGCCUACCAAGGCGACGACGCGUAGCCGGACUGAGAGGUUGGCCGGCCACAUUGGGACUGAGACACUGCCCAGACUCCUACGGGGGCUGCAGUAACGAAUCUUCCGCAAUGCACGCAAGUGUGACGGAGCGACGCCGCGUGUGGGACUAAGUCCUUCGGGAUGUAAACCACUGUCAGGGGUUAGAAAGUUCUGAUCAACCCCAGAGGAAGGCACGGCUAACUCUGUGCCAGCAGCCG